This 234-nucleotide ribosomal RNA is filed under the name uncultured Actinomycetales bacterium. RNAcentral describes it as "partial 16S ribosomal RNA". It matches the Rfam family "Bacterial small subunit ribosomal RNA", at positions 97 to 334 of the family's 1533-position model. Lineage: Bacteria; Bacillati; Actinomycetota; Actinomycetes; Actinomycetales. The record is from RNAcentral.
GGCGAACGGGUGAGUAACACGUGGGUGAUCUGCCCUGCACUUCGGGAUAAGCCUGGGAAACUGGGUCUAAUACCGGAUAGGAGCCAUUUUUAGUGUGAUGGUUGGAAAGUUUUUUCGGUGUAGGAUGAGCUCGCGGCCUAUCAGCUUGUUGGUGGGGCAAUGGCCUACCAAGGCGGCGACGGGUAGCCGGCCUGAGAGGGUGGACGGCCACAUUGGGACUGAGAUACGGCCCAG